GAUGAAGAACUCAGCGAAAUGCGAUACGUAGUGUGAAUUGCAGAAUUCAGUGAAUCAUCGAAUCUUUGAACGCACAUUGCGCCCUUUGGUAUUCCAAAGGGCAUGCCUGUUCGAGCGUCAUUUGUACCCUCAAGCUUUGCUUGGUGUUGGGCGUCUUGUCUCCAGUCCGCUGGAGACUCGCCUUAAAGUCAUUGGCAGCCGGCCUACUGGUUUCGGAGCGCAGCACAAGUCGCACUCUUUUCCAGCCAAGGUCAGCGUCCAACAAGCCUUUUUUCAACUUUUGACCUCGGAUCAGGUAGGGAUACCCGCUGAACUUAAGCAUAUCAAUAAGCGGAGGA
RNAcentral lists this unclassified non-coding RNA (338 nucleotides) under soil metagenome. RNAcentral's name for it is "partial contains 5.8S ribosomal RNA, internal transcribed spacer 2, and large subunit ribosomal RNA". The stretch from base 1 to 120 matches the Rfam family "5.8S ribosomal RNA", at positions 35 to 154 of the family's 154-position model. The record is from RNAcentral.